UGGGGGAUAUUGCACAAUGGGGGGAACCCUGAUGCAGCGACGCCGCGUGGGUGAGGAAGUAUUUCGGUAUGUAAAGCCCUAUCAGCAGGGAAGAAGGAAGACGGUACCUGACUAAGAAGCCCCGGCUAAAUACGUGCCAGCAGCCGCGGUAAUACGUAUGGGGCAAGCGUUAUCCGGAUUUACUGGGUGUAAAGGGAGCGUAGGCGGCGAGCCAAGUCUGGUGUGAAAUACCGGGGCCCAACCCCGGGGCUGCACUGGAAACUGGCGCGCUGGAGUGCCGGAGGGGUAAGCGGAAUUCCUAGUGUAGCGGUGAAAUGCGUAGAUAUUAGGAGGAACACCAGUGGCGAAGGCGGCUUACUGGACGGCAACUGACGCUGAGGCUCGAAAGCGUGGGGAGCAAACAGG
RNAcentral lists this ribosomal RNA (405 nucleotides) under uncultured bacterium. Its description in RNAcentral is "bacterial SSU rRNA". It matches the Rfam family "Bacterial small subunit ribosomal RNA", at positions 355 to 776 of the family's 1533-position model. The record is from RNAcentral.